ACAUUUGACAUUUAUUAUAAUUUCUGUUAUGACUAGUAGUGUUUUCACAUAAAUUCACGCGAUACUCAUAGACAGGAUGCAUACAUACAUAUAUGGGAACUAAAAUAAAGACAGCUCGAAAUCAAAUUCAUCCCUUUCUAUCACAAGUUAGCAAUCUAUUCAUAUAAGUCUAUGAUUAAAAAGAGGUCAUGUGAUCAAAAUUGAUGAAUAACAAGUUCACCAUGCUCGACAUUUGACACUGCCACGUACCUAAAAGUACCUUAAGAGUAAAAUGAUAUUCUCUGCGCUAUGUAAAAGAAUACACCCUGUGAGUGGCAGUUUAUUGAUGUUGAGAGCGACUAGCCAUCAGAGAUCCAAUUCGUUCGGAUUCGCAUGAGCAACCGCAUUCUCCUUAAAUAGAACAUCAAUCUAAAUUCAUUCCAGGCAUUCAAGGCAAGACCCAUUAGAUCACCUUACUGAAUCUAGUAGUGAAGGACCAGAAAACGCCGCGAUCGACUAAAAGCUUCGAGUUAGAUCUCCUUAGUGGACAUAAAUAUCAGACAUUCACAAGAUAAAAAAAUCGAACAGAAAAAUAAUCAGUGAAAAAAUCGAUAAAUUAAAAAAAACUAUCGGUGUUUUCGAUUAAUCGAUAAAAAUCCAUCCUGUGCAACUAAUUUCGAACACUGUUUUAAGAUUACUCUCUCAUAUGCUUGUGGUGCGUACGCUGAUUGUUUAAUUACCACAAAUAUAUAUAUGGGAUUUACGGUUUUAAUGCUGAUUCCAAAUGGCGGAUUUUUCGAGAAGUGUUUCUGUGAGCAAGGGUGAGCAACUCUCGGGAGAUUGUCAGUCUUUUCCAACAGGAGAUACAGGCGUAAAUAUUUAUUUUAAGGUUCCUACUAGUGCUGCCAGACAUGCCCCGCACUCUGCGUUGAAACCACU
This is a long non-coding RNA of Atta colombica, 918 nucleotides long. RefSeq lists it as uncharacterized. Lineage: Eukaryota; Metazoa; Arthropoda; Insecta; Hymenoptera; Formicidae. The record is from RefSeq and is a predicted model, not a curated record. The transcript is spliced from 3 exons.